GACGAACGCUGGCGGCGUGCCUAAUACAUGCAAGUAGAACGCACAGUUUAUACCGUAGCUUGCUACACCAUAAACUGUGAGUUGCGAACGGGUGAGUAACGCGUAGGUAACCUGCCUGGUAGCGGGGGAUAACUAUUGGAAACGAUAGCUAAUACCGCAUAAUAUUAAUUAUUGCAUGAUAAUUGAUUGAAAGAUGCAAUUGCAUCACUACCAGAUGGACCUGCGUUGUAUUAGCUAGUAGGUGAGGUAACGGCUCACCUAGGCGACGAUACAUAGCCGACCUGAGUGGGUGAUCGGCCACACUGGGACUGAGACACGGCCCAGACUCCUACGGGAGGCAGCAGUAGGGAAUCUUCGGCAAUGGACGAAAGUCUGACCGAGCAACGCCGCGUGAGUGAAGAAGGUUUUCGGAUCGUAAAGCUCUGUUGUAAGAGAAGAACGGGUGUGAGAGUGGAAAGUUCACACUGUGACGGUAUCUUACCAGAAAGGGACGGCUAACUACGUG
Molecule: ribosomal RNA, 505 nt
Filed under: uncultured bacterium
Lineage: Bacteria
Description: partial 16S ribosomal RNA
Rfam family: Bacterial small subunit ribosomal RNA
Source: RNAcentral